UGCCAGCAGCCGCGGUAAUACGUAGGUCCCGAGCGUUAUCCGGAAUUAUUGGGCGUAAAGGGCACGUAGCGGACAAAUAAGUUUGAUGUCAAAUAUGAUGGCUCAACCAUCAAGAGGCGUUGAAAACUGUUUAUCUAGAAUCUCGGAGAGGUAAGUGGAAUUCCAUGUGUAGCGGUGGAAUGCGUAGAUAUAUGGAGGAACACCAAUGGCGAAGGCAGCUUACUGGACGAAGAUUGACGCUGAGGUGCGAAAGCGUGGGUAGCAAACAGGAUUAGAUACCCUGGUAG
This 287-nucleotide ribosomal RNA is filed under the name uncultured bacterium. RNAcentral describes it as "partial 16S ribosomal RNA". It matches the Rfam family "Bacterial small subunit ribosomal RNA", at positions 506 to 793 of the family's 1533-position model. The record is from RNAcentral.